Molecule: ribosomal RNA, 406 nt
Filed under: uncultured bacterium
Lineage: Bacteria
Description: partial 16S ribosomal RNA
Rfam family: Bacterial small subunit ribosomal RNA
Source: RNAcentral
AUUGAACGCUGGCGGCAGGCCUAACACAUGCAAGUCGAACGAGUGGCGGACGGGUGAGUAAUGUCUGGGAAACUGCCCGAUGGAGGGGGAUAACUACUGGAAACGGUAGCUAAUACCGCAUACCAUCGGAUGUGCCCAGGUGGGAUUAGCUAGUAGGUGGGGUAAAGGCUCACCUAGCGGACUACGCCUAGCUGGUCUGAGAGGAUGACCAGCCACAGUGGAACUGAAACCGGGUCCAGACUCCUACGGGAGGCAGCAGUGGGGAAUAUUGCACAGUGGGCGCAAACCUGAUGCAGCCAUGCCGCGUGUAUGAAGAAGGCCUUCGGGUUGUAAAGUGCUUUCGGCAGGGAGGCGUUACCCGCAGAAGAAGCACAGGCUAACUCCGUGCCAGCAGCCGCGGUGAAUC